This 700-nucleotide ribosomal RNA is filed under the name uncultured Acidobacteriota bacterium. RNAcentral's name for it is "bacterial SSU rRNA". It matches the Rfam family "Bacterial small subunit ribosomal RNA", at positions 52 to 767 of the family's 1533-position model. The record is from RNAcentral. Lineage: Bacteria; Pseudomonadati; Acidobacteriota.
UAAUGCAAGUCGAACGAUGAAGUUCCUUCGGGAAUGGAUUAGUGGCGAACGGGUGAGGAACACGUGAGAAACCUGCCUUUCAUUCUGGGAUAACACCGGGAAACCGGUGCUAAUACCGGAUACUCCAUCUUGGCGGCAUCGCCGAGCUGGGAAAAAAUUUUGAUGAAAGAUGGUCUCGCGGCCUAUCAGCUAGUUGGUGAGGUAAAGGCUCACCAAGGCAACGACGGGUAGCCGGCCUGAGAGGGCGACCGGCCACACUGGGACUGAGACACGGCCCAGACUCCUACGGGAGGCAGCAGUAGGGAAUAUUGGGCAAUGGGCGAAAGCCUGACCCAGCGACGCCGCGUGAGGGAUGAAGGUCUUCGGAUUGUAAACCUCUUUCAGUAGGGAAGAAGCGAAAGUGACGGUAUCUAAAGGGGGGAGCACCGGCUAACUAUGUGCCAGCAGCCGCGGUAAUACAUAGGGUGCAAGCGUUGUCCGGAAUUAUUGGGCGUAAAGAGCUCGUAGGUCGUUUGUCGCGUCGAUUGUGAAAAUCUGAGGCUCAACCUCAGACCUGCAGUCGAUACGGGCAAACUAGAGUGUGGUAGGGGAGACUGGAAUUCCUGGUGUAGCGGUGGAAUGCGCAGAUAUCAGGAGGAACACCAAUGGCGAAGGCAGGUCUCUGGGCCAUAACUGACACUGAGGAGCGAAAGUGCGGGGA